UACGGAGGAUGCAAGCGUUAUCCGGAAUUACUGGGCGUAAAGCGUGCGUAGGUGGUUUGUUAAGUCUGUUGUGAAAGCCCCGGGCUCAACCUGGGAAUUGCAUUUGAGACUGUGUAGCUAGGGUGCGGAAGAGGGAAGCGGAAUUUCCGGUGUAGCGGUGAAAUGCGUAGAUAUCGGAAGGAACACCAGUGGCGAAAGCGGCUUCCUGGUCCAGCACCGACGUUCAGGCACGAAAGCGUGGGGAGCAAACAGG
Molecule: ribosomal RNA, 253 nt
Filed under: uncultured bacterium
Lineage: Bacteria
Description: partial 16S ribosomal RNA
Rfam family: Bacterial small subunit ribosomal RNA
Source: RNAcentral